GGGGAUGGUCUUCAUCUCUUGAAAAGAACCUCUCUUUCUAUCUCUUCUUCUCUUGCUGUCGUUGUUACGACGUUUUCUUUUGAUCACCGACUUCCUCAAUCGCCUCUCCUCUUGAUUCUCCAAAGUAACGAUUCAGUUGAUAGCAAAUGAUACACUCGAUUAGUGUGGAAAUGAUUUCUCUUGGUCAGCAGACUUUUUCUUGCCACCGCUCCCCGUUCUUUUUCAAGGUUAUUCAAAGAGACCUCAAAUUGGCUGCUGCCCUUUCUGCACUCGGAUUGGAGAAUACAGCACAAUCAGCACAGAAGGAAUUAUGCUUGAAGCCGAAAGGAAUACUGCUGCUGGACACAAGUGAGAAUAAAGGCUUAGGUACUAAAUGUGACACUUAUCAUUCCAACAUAUAUAGGUUCAACACAAGGUUCCAAACCAGGGAAGUUGAAGCUUCGACACAUUAUGGUGAUGUUUGAUAUGUGUUAGUUAUUUUCCGGUGCGCUAGUUUGUAGUUAAAUCUUUAUUUUGUUUGACCCAUAUACAAAUAACUUUGAAAAAACAUGGAAAAAGAAGAAGAUUAGUUGAGAUUGGUUGUAGAAGGCAGUUGGAGGAAAAGAUGUAUAACAAAAGCAUGCAAUAUGUGUAUAGAUACCUGUCUAUUCUUCUUGAUGAAAAACAGUUGAAUUCAAGAAAGAAAACCUUAAGAUGCAGUCCCUAA
Rosa chinensis is the source of this 706-nucleotide long non-coding RNA. RefSeq lists it as uncharacterized. The record is from RefSeq and is a predicted model, not a curated record. The transcript has 3 exons. Lineage: Eukaryota; Viridiplantae; Streptophyta; Magnoliopsida; Rosales; Rosaceae.